This 468-nucleotide ribosomal RNA is filed under the name uncultured bacterium. RNAcentral describes it as "partial 16S ribosomal RNA". It matches the Rfam family "Bacterial small subunit ribosomal RNA", at positions 28 to 507 of the family's 1533-position model. The record is from RNAcentral.
GACGAACGCUGGCGGCGUGCUUAACACAUGCAAGUCGAACGGAAAGGACCUGCUUUUGUGGGGUGCUCGAGUGGCGAACGGGUGAGUAACACGUGAGUAACCUGCCCUUGACUUUGGGAUAACUUCAGGAAACUGGGGCUAAUACCGGAUAGGAGCUCCUGCUGCAUGGUGGGGGUUGGAAAGUUUCGGCGGUUGGGGAUGGACUCGCGGCUUAUCAGCUUGUUGGUGGGGUAGUGGCUUACCAAGGCUUUGACGGGUAGCCGGCCUGAGAGGGUGACCGGCCACAUUGGGACUGAGAUACGGCCCAGACUCCUACGGGAGGCAGCAGUGGGGAAUAUUGCACAAUGGGCGGAAGCCUGAUGCAGCAACGCCGCGUGCGGGAUGACGGCCUUCGGGUUGUAAACCGCUUUCGCCUGUGACGAAGCGUGAGUGUCGGUAAUGGGUAAAGAAGCACCGGCUAACUACGUG